RNAcentral lists this long non-coding RNA (234 nucleotides) under Elaeis guineensis (African oil palm). RNAcentral describes it as "long non-coding RNA (EGUI_LNC049819)". The record is from RNAcentral. Lineage: Eukaryota; Viridiplantae; Streptophyta; Magnoliopsida; Arecales; Arecaceae.
AUCUAAAGGACCCAAUUCAUCUAAUAAAUCAAGUCAGAAGCGAUUCUGGGCCGUCGGAUCACGAUUUGGGUGAAGCGCUGCCGUUGGAUCGCGCUGCAGAGAUGGGAUCAGGUCGGAUGCAUCGCGGACCGUCCGAUCAAGGCGCUGGAAGAUUUCGUCCGUUGGAUCACGCUGCAGAAGGAUCCCGUGUUGUCCUAGUGUUUAUUGAUUCUUGCAAUUGCCUUGAUUACGGUU